RNAcentral lists this long non-coding RNA (279 nucleotides) under Elaeis guineensis (African oil palm). RNAcentral describes it as "long non-coding RNA (EGUI_LNC056836)". The record is from RNAcentral. Lineage: Eukaryota; Viridiplantae; Streptophyta; Magnoliopsida; Arecales; Arecaceae.
AGCAACUUUUAGGACAACCUGUAGAGUUUACCCUGUAGUGUCCAUCCACUAGUGUUCAUCUCAUAGUGCCCACCAUAGCAUCCCUAGUAGCAUCCACUCUGUCCAUAUCAUCCACCAUAGUGUCCGCCUAGUAGCUUCCACUCUGUGUUCUCCAAUAGUUAAGUGUCCAGCCUUAGUGUCCAACCCUAGAUAUCCAGCCUUAGUAUUGUCCAUCCACCAAUAAUGUCCAAAUUUAGAGACCAACCUUGGGUUCACUCAUAGUUUAGGAUUAUUCACCCA